GUGAGAAGAAGGCUGGGAACUCUCUUGAUUCUCCAAAGGCAGCCACGCACACACCCUGAGUCUCCUGCAGCAGUGAAGUGUUUGAUGGAUCUAGCUUUCCUGAUCUGUCAGUUUCUGGGAGCAUCAUCCCCGAAAAGCAAAUCUAAUGCCAAAGAAGAAGGACAUGGAUAGCACUACCUUCGACCUCAGUUGGAGCAGCUGCUGGAACAGCCCCUUGUACAUGGAUGGGUUUAUGUUAGGGAGCAGCCAAGUGUUUGUACAGUCCCAGGUCUGCAGAACUUCUCUUCAACUAAACACAUCCAAGGAAACUUCAAACAAAGCUUGCUGAGUUAAAAAGACAAUCUGCCUCUGACUUUUACUACCCAGUCUGGAGAGAAUUUAAUUGCAGGAAUGAUGGAUUGCAUCCUCAGAUACUAUAAUGGAUGCUGAAGAUUUUGUGAACAAUGUAUUUUUUCUGGGUGGAUGGGUAGCUAGAUGUAUUGGAAAGAAAAUGUAUAGGUAAAAUAACAUUUUUUAAGAAUACACACAAAUUAUAAUGAUGUAAUUUUAUUUUCUAUUAAAUCUACUUGAAAAGA
Non-coding RNA from Taeniopygia guttata (zebra finch), 575 nucleotides. The record is from RefSeq and is a predicted model, not a curated record. NCBI's taxonomy places the organism in Eukaryota, Metazoa, Chordata, Aves, Passeriformes, Estrildidae.